UCCUCAUUUGAAAUAUAGCACUAAACUGGGCAUCCUGUUUAUUAUCUUCUGAUUCUGCUCUGGAUGGAUUUUAAAUAAACCCAUUCUAACGCGAUUUCCAAAAGGAUAGGUCCAUGUGGGGAUGAGGUCUGGAAAAGUUUGGAAGAGCUGCUGCAGGUGCUCUGAAAGAGCAACAGAAUGUUGCUGGGCAGUUGUGAAGGCCCACUUCCCUCCGGUGGCUGACUUUGUCCUGGAUAAACCAGAGGUAUCCCUGGACACCAGAACAGUGUGUCAGAUCCCCUGGAGCUGGAGAUCCAGAAGCUCAGUGUCAGCCUGGAAAAAGGAAAAAAAUGGCUGACAUGAUAAAGAAGUGGUUUUUAUAUUCCUGACCUCAUUUCUCUGUUCCCCAAGUCCUUCAAUGGCUGAGUUCUUUGGUCAAGAUACACGAACUCUCAUCUCCUUCCCUAGCACCAUGUCUGCCUACAUUCUGCCUUGCUUCCCACCAUGACAAUAAUGAGCUAAACCUCUGAACUGCUUGCUCCGUGUUCUGUUCAUGUGACUCUCACCCUGCUGUGGCCUGUACUCCAGUCCCUGACACAAGGCAAGUCUGGACUGAUGUAGAAAGUCCCUGCUCAACUAGCCAUGACUUUGGAGAAAGCCCCGACCUCUGAGCGGACAGAAGGCCUGGACAUCAGUGCGUGGGAGCCCUGGAGCCUGCAUUGCUGGGACAGCUCCAAAAGACUGUGAAGCACAGGCUUGUCAGACCUGGAGAAUAAAAGCAUGUCUGCCACACCGUGGCCCUCUCUGCGGGAAGGGAGAGGCUAGGAGGGAACCUGGUGGGUGGGGUUAUGGCUGGGACUCCUCUGGAACUUUCAGGGCAGGUGCCAGGCCCUGCUUACAGACUAUGAUAGGGCGGGGCCUCCAUGCCUUGGGUGAGCAGAUUCUCCCUUGCUUUCCCAGGAGGAAAUAAAGAACUAUCAGAAUUGUGAGUCUGUGCCCCUUGACAGAGCAGUUUCACCUCUAAGAAUUCCCUCUGCAGAGAAGUGUGCACAUCGUGCCAAAUGACGUCUGUUUAGACAAGGGAUGCAGCAAAGACUCGAGAUAGAAUGGCUCUGGGUUCAAAAUGCAUUGUGUAUCUGGACAAUGAACACUGUCUUUUCACAAAUAACAGGGGAGUGCCACAUGAACUGAAGUGGAAACAGCUCCAAAUGUAUUAAGUUAAAAAAAAAUAAAAGAGCAAAUCAUCGUGCAA
This is a non-coding RNA of Myodes glareolus (Bank vole), 1231 nucleotides long. The record is from RefSeq and is a predicted model, not a curated record. NCBI's taxonomy places the organism in Eukaryota, Metazoa, Chordata, Mammalia, Rodentia, Cricetidae.